GUGAGCCGUGUGCGGGAGAACCGCAUGCACGGUUCGAGGAGGCGGGGGCUGGAGACGGAAGCGAAUUGGCCAU
Molecule: non-coding RNA, 73 nt
Filed under: Sinosporangium album
Lineage: Bacteria; Bacillati; Actinomycetota; Actinomycetes; Streptosporangiales; Streptosporangiaceae
Source: RNAcentral